This 460-nucleotide ribosomal RNA is filed under the name uncultured bacterium. Its description in RNAcentral is "bacterial SSU rRNA". It matches the Rfam family "Bacterial small subunit ribosomal RNA", at positions 28 to 498 of the family's 1533-position model. The record is from RNAcentral.
GAUGAACGCUGGCGGCGUGCUUAACACAUGCAAGUCGAACGGACUUUACAUGAAGCCUAGCGAAUGUAAAGUUAGUGGCGGACGGGUGAGUAACGCGUGAAUAACCUGCCUUAUACUGGGGGACAACAGUUGGAAACGACUGCUAAUACCGCAUAAGCGCACAGUGCUGCAUGGCACAGUGUGAAAAACUCCGGUGGUAUAAGAUGGAUUCGCGUCUGAUUAGCUAGUUGGUGAGGUAACGGCUCACCAAGGCGACGAUCAGUAGCCGGCCUGAGAGGGUGAACGGCCACAUUGGGACUGAGACACGGCCCAAAACUCCUACGGGAGGCAGCAGUGGGGAAUAUUGCACAAUGGGGGAAACCCUGAUGCAGCGACGCCGCGUGAGUGAAGAAGUAUUUCGGUAUGUAAAGCUCUAUCAGCAGGGAAGAAAAUGACGGUACCUGACUAAGAAGCCCCGGCU